GGAAAAGCAGAAACCAGUGGAAGGAAGUCACGCUGAUGAUCUAUUUCUAAACACCUCCCCGUUGGUGACUCAGCACAGACAUCUCUUCAGCAAGCCCCAACUCCAUGGGCUAGCACAGGUAACCCCUAGUGACUAAUUGCAAAGGGAAGAAAAAAAGACAAAGGUGGAAAAAAAGGGUGGAAAACAGGGUGGAAAAAAAGACAGGGUGGGGUGGGAAAUUAGUUAUGUGUAUAAUCUCACAGUCAGCUUGGUGCAAUGGUUAAGUGCUCCAGCUGGGGGUUCAGGCUGCCAGGGUUCAAAUCCCAGCUUUGGGACUUGCUACAGGUUAUUUUUAUUUGCUUUGUUGCAGGGAGUGGGCUUCUCCUGUUGUGACUCAGAAGUUUCAGCAUGAGGACUUACUGCUCCAAGGCAUGGGGGAAUCUUAGUUCCCAACCAGGGAUCAAACCCAGGUCUCCUGCAUUGGAAGAUGGGUUCUUAACAGUGGACCACCAGGGAAGUCCCUCUGCAGUCUUCUAGAACUUCAGGUCCUGGAGGAGGGCAGGAUGACUGACUGGAUGGAGCUGCCCGCGGCGGGGGCUCAGGUCUGGCGGAGUGUCUCGGCUGGACGUACUGGCUGGCUUUUCAACAACUUCUGUUUUCAGUAAACAGAAAUCAGAACAGCUGUUCUCCAUCUUGCCUUCCGCGGCCCCCUGGGCACUUACCAUGCAAGGACUGGGUUAGCUUGUUUUGAGCUAACCAUCCUUCCCCCCCGGCCCUGGGGAAAACGGACACCCAAUCCUGAAAUACACGUGUGCCCACGGCUCAUAACCAACCACUGUUCACCUUUUCUUCUAUUUGCUCUGAAUCCACUUUUAUUCUUAACAAAAGAGUAAAGCAUCGCAUGUUCAUGCCCUUCUAGUCUCCAACCACCAGAGACAAACUCCAGCAUGAAUGGAGCCUGUAGCCUCCCAGCC
This is a long non-coding RNA of Bos taurus (domestic cattle), 953 nucleotides long. The record is from Ensembl. Lineage: Eukaryota; Metazoa; Chordata; Mammalia; Artiodactyla; Bovidae.